This 1037-nucleotide ribosomal RNA is filed under the name Staphylococcus hominis subsp. novobiosepticus. Its description in RNAcentral is "bacterial SSU rRNA". It matches the Rfam family "Bacterial small subunit ribosomal RNA", at positions 48 to 1067 of the family's 1533-position model. Lineage: Bacteria; Bacillati; Bacillota; Bacilli; Caryophanales; Staphylococcaceae. The record is from RNAcentral.
GCUAUACAUGCAGUCGAGCGAACAGACGAGGAGCUUGCUCCUUUGACGUUAGCGGCGGACGGGUGAGUAACACGUGGGUAACCUACCUAUAAGACUGGGAUAACUUCGGGAAACCGGAGCUAAUACCGGAUAAUAUUUCGAACCGCAUGGUUCGAUAGUGAAAGAUGGCUUUGCUAUCACUUAUAGAUGGACCUGCGCCGUAUUAGCUAGUUGGUAAGGUAACGGCUUACCAAGGCAACGAUACGUAGCCGACCUGAGAGGGUGAUCGGCCACACUGGAACUGAGACACGGUCCAGACUCCUACGGGAGGCAGCAGUAGGGAAUCUUCCGCAAUGGGCGAAAGCCUGACGGAGCAACGCCGCGUGAGUGAUGAAGGUCUUCGGAUCGUAAAACUCUGUUAUUAGGGAAGAACAAACGUGUAAGUAACUGUGCACGUCUUGACGGUACCUAAUCAGAAAGCCACGGCUAACUACGUGCCAGCAGCCGCGGUAAUACGUAGGUGGCAAGCGUUAUCCGGAAUUAUUGGGCGUAAAGCGCGCGUAGGCGGUUUUUUAAGUCUGAUGUGAAAGCCCACGGCUCAACCGUGGAGGGUCAUUGGAAACUGGAAAACUUGAGUGCAGAAGAGGAAAGUGGAAUUCCAUGUGUAGCGGUGAAAUGCGCAGAGAUAUGGAGGAACACCAGUGGCGAAGGCGACUUUCUGGUCUGUAACUGACGCUGAUGUGCGAAAGCGUGGGGAUCAAACAGGAUUAGAUACCCUGGUAGUCCACGCCGUAAACGAUGAGUGCUAAGUGUUAGGGGGUUUCCGCCCCUUAGUGCUGCAGCUAACGCAUUAAGCACUCCGCCUGGGGAGUACGACCGCAAGGUUGAAACUCAAAGGAAUUGACNGGGACCCGCACAAGCGGUGGAGCAUGUGGUUUAAUUCGAAGCAACGCGAAGAACCUUACCAAAUCUUGACAUCCUUUGACCCUUCUAGAGAUAGAAGUUUCCCCUUCGGGGGACAAAGUGACAGUGGUGCAUGGUGUCGUCAGCUCGUGUCG